This 563-nucleotide ribosomal RNA is filed under the name uncultured bacterium. RNAcentral describes it as "partial 16S ribosomal RNA". It matches the Rfam family "Bacterial small subunit ribosomal RNA", at positions 355 to 905 of the family's 1533-position model. The record is from RNAcentral.
UGGGGAAUAUUGGACAAUGGGCGAAAGCCUGAUCCAGCCAUGCCGCGUGUGUGAAGAAGGUCUUCGGAUUGUAAAGCACUUUAAGUUGGGAGGAAGGGCAGUAAGCUAAUACCUUGCUGUUUUGACGUUACCGACAGAAUAAGCACCGGCUAACUUCGUGCCAGCAGCCGCGGUAAUACGAAGGGUGCAAGCGUUAAUCGGAAUUACUGGGCGUAAAGCGCGCGUAGGUGGUUUGAUAAGUUGGAUGUGAAAGCCCCGGGCUCAACCUGGGAAUUGCAUCCAAAACUGUCUGACUAGAGUAUGGCAGAGGGUGGUGGAAUUUCCUGUGUAGCGGUGAAAUGCGUAGAUAUAGGAAGGAACACCAGUGGCGAAGGCGACCACCUGGGGCUAAAUUACUGACACUGAGGUGCGAAAGCGUGGGAAGCAAACAGGAUUAGAUACCCUGGUAGUCCACGCCGUAAACGAUGUCGACUAGCCGUUGGGGAUCCUUGAGAUCUUAGUGGCGCAGCUAACGCAUUAAGUCGACCGCCUGGGGAGUACGGCCGCAAGGUUAAAAUCUCAAA